This 246-nucleotide long non-coding RNA is filed under the name Capsella grandiflora. RNAcentral describes it as "long non-coding RNA (CGRA_LNC001613)". Lineage: Eukaryota; Viridiplantae; Streptophyta; Magnoliopsida; Brassicales; Brassicaceae. The record is from RNAcentral.
UCAAAUCCAGCAACGCACACCCUUGAGCUACUCAUAAAGCAUAUUUCCUUCAGAUCUGGCAAAGAGAAAACCAUUCACGGCGGUAGGAGAAGGAAGCUGGCUAAAACAAACCCUCAGCCACCGAUAUCCAGGAAAGGAACGCCCGUGAUUAGCCAUCUAGGAUCUGGCCAAAGAUCCACCGUUAAUUGCAAAGUGGUGAACCCACCAAUCCGAAGCUUAACUUCCGCCGUAAUCAUAUCUUAACUU